AGAUGAAGAGGUGUCUCGGCCAAAAGGUGUAAGGUCGAGCGGGUACCAACGAACUGUUGCAUCGCCCAAAGGAUGCAAGGAACGGAUGUGACUUUUCAGAAGGGUGCAAGGAACGGAUGUGAUGCUUUCGGAAGCAUCCAUUCGCCCCCUAUAUAAGGGAGGACGCCCAAGGCAUCAACACAUCAUCCAUACACCACAAAACAUUCUCAAAACAGUCCCAACACAUCUUGAAAUUGUUGGUCAGAAAGGGAGUGCGGCUCGGCGAGUAUAACUCGACCGAACUGAUGCGCAUGCUAUCUCCUGUGCAACGGUUCGAUGGAGUGUAGAGGAUGGAGAGGGUAGACCGUUCGUCUUAGAUACGAAUCGGAUCUGAUAGACCGUUCGUCGGAUCGAUCGGCCAGACCGAUUGUCAGACAGAUCGGAUCGGCCAGACGAAUCGAAUCGGACAGACCGAUCGUCGGACGGAUCGGAUGGGACAGGCCGAUCGUCGGACGGAACAGGUCGGACAGACCGAUCGUCAGAGGGGAUGGAUCGAGAAAAGUGUUCGAGGAAGCACAAGGAUAAGUGCAUCCGAACAAACCCAAGGGUCGCCCAUGGAUGCAAUCUUACCGGUAAAGGGAGAAAGCACCAAGAAUGGGUAAGGAACGUUAUUCACCAUAUAUGAUAAAUAUCGUGACCGCCUUCAUGUAUCUAUCUCCUCAGCCAUGGUGAAACCGAUCGGAGAUCGG
RNAcentral lists this small RNA (728 nucleotides) under Arabidopsis thaliana (thale cress). RNAcentral describes it as "ATSL200080". Lineage: Eukaryota; Viridiplantae; Streptophyta; Magnoliopsida; Brassicales; Brassicaceae. The record is from RNAcentral.